AUAAUAUUCCCUCCAGCUCGUAUAACUCUGGCCCCAAAAAAAUAUCUUGAGGGAACUCUAUAUAUACCAAUAGAUUUGAUAGGAAGAAGAAAAAAAAAAGGAAACCUAGAGAUAAAAAUAGCUAAGCGGCGCAGCAGAAACUCCAGAAAACAAAAAAUAGUUGCACCUCUUUCUUUUUCCCCUUCAACUCAUCAUCAUCUUCAACCCACAAAAUAUCCAUGAAAACCACCAUCUUUCCUCCAUAAAACCCACUUGAAAAUAGCCUUUUAAACCUAGCAAAAACCACUCAAAAACAAGCGCAAAUCCAUCGUCAAACUCUAAGAAAAACUGUCCAAAACCCAGCAUUAAACUACAACCAAAUCAGCACCGAAAAUGCCCCAAAAUCCAUCUCCAAAGUGACUCAAAAUGUCACCCGAACCACCCCCAAAACUCAGCAAAAUCAGCCCCAAAAAUCAUCCGCAAAGCAGCUCCAAAGAGCAGCCAAAUCAGCUGAGAAAUUACUGGUAAAAAAACCUGUCCAAAACCCCCCAGAAAAGCUGUCCAAAAUUAGUGCCAAAAAUAUGACGAAAAACCGUCUGAAGCCAGCCACAAGCCUCCAUCAAAAUUACCACUUUAUACUCGAAAUAGUUGUCCAAAUCUAUUCGAGUCGGUAUCAUUUUCGUGUAGAUCUUGGUUUGAGUUCGCCAUUGAAGUUACGGUCGAUUGGUUCUAUAGCAUUUGAAGGUCCCUGUUUUGCUCUUGCUUCGGUCAAAUUGUAGUUGUUGUUUCCUUGUAUUUUGACAUUGGCAGCGGUGCUUCAAUGUAAAGGAAGUUUCCAGUAAUAAAGUCCAAUAUUUAAACUUAUGUUAUCUCAAUUUUGUCCUGCUAGCAUAAUGAAUGAUUCUGGUUAUUUGUUGCUAUUCCAUGUUAUCUUGUCUUUCGUAGUAGUCUUAAUUAGCUGGUCUUUUGUCUUAAGCUAUGACUUGAUUUGUGAGAUUCAUGCUCAGCUCAUUAUUUACAACUUAAUAUCUGUUAUAUGUUGAUUUGCUAUCUCCCCUUGGUAUAGUUAAUACAUUAGCAUCAUGGUUCAUUAAAGAAGCUACUGUUUGAAUUCAUGGGAAGUGUAGGACAGUUAAUCGUGUUGGGUUUUUGUAAUUCACGGGUUUAUGGUAAUUGAUUUAAUUUUGGGCUUUACUUUAUCCUUACCCUUUAAUAUUCGGGUCAUUAGCACUUGGUUUGAGAUAAGCGAUUUGGCCUAUUUUACAUAACUGAUAAUUGCUAGAUUAGUCUAAAUAGCUUAAUAAACUUCAUGUAUUCCAAACACCUCCAAUUUCAUAAGUCAUGGCCUUACAACAACCUUAAAACUAGUUUAGGAAAAUAAUCACACAACUGCAGUUUGCUUUAGGCGCGGUUAAUAAAUCAUUGUGGCCAUGUGUACGGUUCCCGUAGCAUGGUCACGAUACAUAUUUUCCAAUUCAGGUGUGCAUUUUAUAUGACCCGACCACAACUUAAAACAAUAUAAAAAUAAAUAUGUUGUAAAUCGCGGGUGCAUUUCAUGUGGCGCAGUUUGCACUAUGUACCAAAGACAAGUGUACGACAUCGUGACUUGUUCCAAAAAUAAUUCCAUAAAUAAAUAAAAGCAGUUAUAGAGUUAAAAAUACACACACAUUUAAAAUAUGUAAUAAAUCAGAUAAUUAGGCCAAUUAUCAAUAGUUGAGCGACCGUGCUAAAACUACGGAAUCCGGGAGUGCCUCACACCUUCUCCCGGUUUAACAGAAUUCCUUACCGAUCCUCUGUGUUCGCGGACCAAAACUAGAGUCAAUUUCCUCGAUUUGGGAUUUAAAAUAAAUCGGUGACUUGGGACACCAUAAACUAUUCCAAGUGGCGACUCUAAAAAAUUAAAUAAAUAAUCUCAUUUCGAUUAAUGUCACUUUAAUUGGAAAAACUUUCCUAUACCCGUCAGAAAAAAGGAGGUGUGACAGCUCUGGCGACUCUGCUGGGGAAACAAACCUAGAACUUAUGGUUUAGAGUUCAGAAUUCGAGCUUAGAAUAACUGUUAUAGUUGGCUUUUAUUUAUUAUCUAAUUUUUUUUACGUGUUUUAGCUUGAUGUGCUAAAUGCCACUUUUUACCGCUUUGAUAUUAUAUGAACUGUAUAUAAACUAUUACAAAAUCCUUCUUCUCUCUGAGUCUUCUAAAUCUUCUGGGAAGUGCACACUGGCGUGACUUCUUUUCUGUUAGAGUCAUACCCUAAUUUAGAACGAGGAUCAGAUCAGUUACAAAGCCGGAUGGCCUUUUGGUUAUCGGUACGUUGCCCCUUUCCCCCCCCCCCCCCUCCCCGGCUCGAGUUGUCUACUCGGGUAAGCCAGGAGAAUAAUACACCCAGGUUUUAAACCUAGAAUAACAUAGCCUCAUGCCGGAUUCCUAGUAGGAACGCUUGCAUUUGACUUUGGGGACUCAACACAGGGUUUGGUUCCGUCUAGGACAGGUGUAACCGAAAUAAAAAGACCAUCCUGAUGCAUCUUACGUGCUACUUGCGCAUCUGUUUGUUUUGGCUUACGUGCUGACUGGCUUUUAGAAUGGGAAAAGAAAAAUAAAAAAAUAGAGAAAAUAAUAAAUAAAAACAAGAGUGAGAGGUAGGUAUUAAAAAAAUCAAAACUCUGCCGAAAUUUUGAAGAAAAUAAAAGAGAAAGAAAAUAAGAUAAUGUUUUCAAAAGAUCAUGUUUCCCUUGUUCCGUCAAAACAGACUGAACUACGCGGGUCUAAUUCUCAUCGGAUGUGAGAUACGUAGGCAAACUUUAUCGGUUCCAGCCCCAAUUUCUAAAAAUUCAAAAAUAUUUUCCUUUAAUUCCUUCAUUAGAAGCAUUUCCUUAGAAAAUUCAAAAGAAAAAGAUUUUUAAACUCAAAAAAAAUAGUUUUCUUCUUUCUGAAGUCUUUCAUACGGAAAAAAAAAAACAACAAAAUCCAAAAUACAGAUUUCCUUUAUUUUAAAGUAUUUUUCCCAAAAAUUCAAAAAAAAAUCAAAAAAAAAGAAUCCAAAAAAUAUUCUUAUCCUUCUUUAAAAAUCUUUCUUUCGUAAAUAUCAUAAAAUAAUUGAAACGUUGAAGUCCAAAAAUAUUUUUGUUUUUCUUUAGAAGUACUUUUGUAAUAAAAAAAAACUCAGAAAUCCAAAAUAUUUUCUUAGCCCCUCUUUCGAAAAUUAAGAGGCAACAUCCAAAAUUCAAAAACAUUUUCUUUCUUCUUUAGAAAAAGAGAAAACAAAUGAAAAUUCAAAAAAUAAUCUUUUUACUUUUGAAAUUCCCAAAGUUCAAAUCAAAGAAAAGGAAUUUUUAGAAGUCUUUCUUUCAAAAAAAAAAUCAAAAUUAAAAAUCCAAAAAAUAUUUCUUUUUUUAUUUUAAAGCAUUUUUUUUAAAACUCCAAAAUAAAUACAAAAAAAAUCAAAAAAAUAUAUAUGUUUUUCUUUUUCUUAAAGCUUUCAUGGUCCGAGUUUUAUAAAAAGUAAACAAAAAAAGUGAGUUAGUUUAAUUACUCUAUUCUCGAUCUUCCUGAACUAUGCAAGAUCUUAUUCAUGCUGCAUCAUGAUACUUAGGCAAUCCCCAUCGGAUUCGAUCAUAGCUAUAAAAUAAAUUGAGUGAAAAAUAAACUAAAAAAAUUGAGUGAAGAAGAAAGAAAUGAGUGAAAAAAAAGGAAUGACAAAACAAAAAGAGAACAAGAGAGUGCCAAAUAUAAAAGAGCGACAGAAACAAAAGGAAAAAAAUCAAAAGUGAUUAAAGAGAGGUAGAAAUAAAAGAAAAGAGGUACAUACUGAAAGGAUUAGUUGAGGCCGGGAUGAAACAUGCAACCGUUAGUUAAGGCCCGGAUGAAACAUGCAACCGUUCAAACACAUGGUAGAAGCAUUUAACUGUUAGGUGCAUUGCAUCCCAACUUGCGAUUUCCUAUAUGCUAAAUGUUUCAAAACUAACAAGGUUGUUGGGUGUGCAAAUUAGCCAGGUUCUGUUCAGGUGGUUAGUUUUGUUGAUAAUCUGGCUUUCCAUCCUUACUUCACAAGAUCCAAAGGCAUGGUUCCUAUGGCCUCGGUCCCACCAUACUAUUAUCCCUUUCAAGAUGUUGCUUAUGUUGUGGCACUGCCUCCCUACGCGGUGAUGAGCAUGCAACCUUACAUGCGGCCACAACAUUAUACACAAAAACAAGAUCCACCUCCCAGAAAUGCCCAUCCUUGCCAAGCUUCAAAUAAUCCCAACCAAAUGUCCCCCAGUACAACCCCCCUCCCCCCAAGAGAGCCUUUCAGAAAGAAUCAGUUCACCCCUAUUGGUGAAUCAUAUUCGGGCUUGUUCCAAAAGCUAGUCAGGCGAGGUCUGCUGUAGCCAGUGGCCCCAAACCAGCCAAACCCCGAGUCUCCCUCACACCAAGCGAUGCCAUAUGUGAAUACCACUCCGCAAUGGGACACAGUACAGAGGGCUGUUGGACCCUCAAAAGGGCAAUUGAAGACUUAAUCGAAGCUGAAAUAAUCGUUCUUCGGGACGAAAAAGGCUCCUAAUGGACAAAUAAUCCAUUGCUUGCUCACAACACCAGGCCAAUAGUCGGAAUGAUUCGUGAAAAGAGGAAUUUGAUCCAGCACUAAAGGCCAUUGCAGCCAUUGUCGAGACAGAAGAAAAUCCAAAAAGCGAUCGACAAGCUUGAAAGUUCCCCAUCAGAUGGGAGUCUCGAUAGCCAGUCUUGCUAUAUUUUCUGCGUUCGGAUUAUCUCAGGGUGUGAUCCGGAUGUUUCACUUUCCGAUGUAAACCCUUAUAUCUUUAAAAUUCAAAAAAAAUCAAAUAAAAAAGAAAUCAUUUCAUUACCUAGGAAUGUCUCUUUUCUUAUUGUAACUUUUCUUAUUCUCUUUUUAAUUCUGUUAAAUGCAGAUUUCAAUAACAUGACAUGCUUGCGGACUUCAUGCCCAGAUCCUAAAACGCUGUCAGACCUCGAAAUAAUGAAUCAAAAAAUAGAUUGUAAUGAAGAUAAGUUUUAGGAAAUAAAACAAAGAGUUGGAACAACUAAAGAAAAAUUGGCUCCAGAUUGUAAAGAUCCAUACAUGGUAACAAGGGUACUUCCAAAAAGAGCGUUGUACCUGGGAAACAUCCAAAGAAAUGUCCCUAAAACAACUACCAAUGUAGGUUCAGUCAAAAGGUACUAUGUUUGAUCCUCUAUAUAGUAUUAACGCUCCGAUUGGGAUGAAGAAGGCUUUUAUUUUCGCUAACUAAAUACCAUUAACCCUUUUUUAAUCUCUUUGAGCCGGUUCCCUUUCUUUGAUUACCCUCUUUGGAAUCUGAAAGUGUUAUUGAAAAAAAAUGAAAGAAUGAAAUGAAAAAUGAAAAACAAAAUGAAAAAAGAGAAGAAAAAGAAAGAUACAAAAAAGGGAAGAAAAGGCAAAAAGAAAAUGAAAUGAAAAAUGAAAAAAAAAAGAGGAAAAAGGAAAGGAAAAAGAAAGAGAAAACAAAAGAAAAUAGAAAAACAAAAGAAAAAAAACAAAGUUCCUUGAACUUGUUCAACUUGAUUCCAAAAGGAUACGUAGGCAGACUCUCUCUGGGGUUCAGUCACACCAAAAUAAAAAUCCAAAUUCCUCUAAUUUGAAACUGGGGCAGAAGUUAUAAUGGUUUGACGAUGGUUUCGCCCGAAAGGUUCCAAAGUCAUAACUCUAUCCAAAUCCUUUUUACCCAAACCUUAUUCAAGUCCUUCUGAUCAAUCGGCAAAGAUGUUCAAAAUGGGAGGAUACAGUUACUUGGAUCUGACACAACAAAAUGAGAGAAUUAAAAUGAAAGUCUUAUCGGUGAAAACUCUCACGGGCAACAUAAGGUGAUGGUAAGCAGAGAAAUGGAAAAUAAGAGAGUCUUGUUAGUGAAAACUCGCAAAGAGCACUAUAAUACGAUGGUGAGAAGAGAAAUAAGAGUGGUCAGAUAGUGAAAACCCGCAAAGGGCACCACUGAUCAAAAAAGAGGAUAUUCGGUCACUGACAUUGACACAGUCCUGGGCAUGGUUUCUCGAUUUCGAGGCAAAAGUUGUGAUGAAUUUCUGAGAGUCAGACGGUUUGCACGGAUCAGGCAUCCAGUCCAAAAGGCGUGUCAUAUUCGUUGAAGUCCGCAUGUACUCUAGAUAAGUCCUUCUUUCCUUUCCUCAAAAGGGACGUCUUGUAUAAAUUCAUUUGUCCAUUCCAUUGUUUAUUUUUCCUUUGAAUCCCUUUCGGUCUAACUCUAUUUUGAAACUGAGACAAAGAAGGUUUACAGGGUUCUCAUUUGAUACAAGCUAAUAUGCAAAAAAGACACCCAGCCUCGUCAGGGGCAUCAAGUCGACCUCGACCGGCCAUGACGGCCAAUGCUUCGAAAUCAAAUCGAAGUGCCUAUAAAGGUAAAUGAAGUUGAAAAGGUUAAGUUCCACGUGGCUAAUAGUCUCGGCAAAAAUUUGAAAAAGCCAAGGGAUCCCAAAUGCUCUGAAACUAAAGUUGGAAUAAAGAAGCCAAAAAUGAAAGGCCUAUGAAGGCGAAAUAAAGUUGGAAAAGAUUAAGUCCUACGCGACUAGCCGUCGCGACAAAGUUUGAGGAGCCAAAAGUUCCUCAAUGCUCCGAAGUUUUAAAAAAACAACAAGUCAGAAGGGAAGGGCCUAUAGAAGCAAAAUAAAGUCAAAAAGGUUGAGUCCCAUCGACCAAUCGUCAUGCAAAUUGUGGAAAAGCUAGAGUUUCUACAGGGUCAGAAAUGCAAUCGGUAUUCAGGAAACAAUCAAGCCGAGAUCAAGUGGUUAAAAUAAUCAAGGCCACAAAACCAACCACCGUUUUAAACUGACAAAUUGUUUUUUGUUUGAAAAAUAAGAAACAGGUGCAAUGCACAAGCAAACUUGCAAGAAGCAGGUGCUACCAAAAAGAAACUGCGCAAGAGCUAAAAAACAGCUUUGCAGCAACAACUCCAAAAAGGGAAGUCUCCUCCAAAAUUCUUUCCGGCAUUUACUCAUUCUAUGAAAUAAAAAAAAUAAGAAAAAAAACGAUGAUGAAAAUAAAUAAAGAAAAAAAAAGAAGAAGAGAAACUCAAAAUCAUAGUAGUAUAGGGUCUCCAAUUCCUAGCUGUGUCUUUUCCAAAAUAGGGUCCCACUUCCUAGUUGAUGCGGGCAUAACCCGAUGACUUUUCCAACAUAGAGUCUCACUCCCUAGUUGAUGCCGGCAUAACCCCAUGACUUUUUCAACAUAGGGUCCCACUCCCUAGUUGAUGUCGGCAUAACCCCAUGACUUUUCCAACAUAGGGUCUCACUCCCUAGUUGAUGUCGGCAUAACCCGAUGCCAGCAAAACCUAAUGCCAACAUAGGGUAACCACUCCCUAGUUGAUGCCAGCAUAACCUGAUGCCCACAUAGGGUCACCAUUCCCUAGUUGAUGCCGACAUAGGGUCUCCACUCCCUAGUUGAUGUCAGCAUAACCUGAUGCCAACAUAGGGUCACCACUCCCUAGUUGAUGAUUUUCCAACAAUAGAGUUUCCAAUCCCUAGUUGAUUUUAUUUUAGAUAUAUGGGUCUCCACUCCUUAAUAUCUUUUUCCCAAGGAUACACAAUCUCGACAUUUUAUUUGCUUUUAAUAAUGAAGUAGUAUAGAGUUUUGCUACCAAUAACUCACGAAAGUUUCCUAGUGAAAACUGGGGCAGAAAUAUUUUGUUCGUUUGUUUGUUUGGGUGCCUGAGCAGGUUUUACCUCGAGGCACGGGUUCGAGACGACUAAAAGAAGAAGUCUCAAUCCAAAAUAAAAGAAAAAGAAGAAAAGAAAUGAAGUGAACACAAUUCAGAAGCGGAGAAAAGAUGUGGACUGCUCAAGAAAUGAUUAAUAUCACAAGCUUUGCAUGUCACGCCUUGAUCCGAGAAGCUGAAAAGAAUGAACCAGCACCUAUAGCUAACAAGCAUCAAGAUUCGGAUCAGAGUCUACGUGAAGAACGAGCUAAGACUCAAGAUCAAGCUUCAAAAGACUCAUAGAUAGGAAUCCUGUAACUUGUAGCUGAUAGGCUUAGUUAGUUUUUUUCAUUUUGACUUUGAUGUAAUAGCAGGACCACGGACCGGAUCCUCGACGGGACCUCACUCGACACUCGAACUUGGCAUUCCAUCAUUCUCCUUGAACUACACGCGACCUGAUUCUCAUAUGACCCAGGAUAUGUAGGUUGUCCAAAACAAGGACUCGGUUGCACUCUUUUCUUUUAGUUUCUUCCCUUUUAAUAAUAAAAAAUAAAUAAUGGUUUGGUCAAAAAUUAGUCAUAUCGCUCAUCUUUUCUUUGCCUGAAAACUCUUCAUGUUUCCAAGCAACGAGGGGCAUGCUGUAAGCACCUAAUUUUUGACCAUAUUUUAAUUUUUCACCACUUUUUCGUAUGUAAAUAUUUUUUAAGUUUAACCUACGCAUUUUAGCUCUUGUUUUACCUUUUUAUAGGUUUUACUUAGAAAUUGAAAAUGAUGAAAAAGAGUCACAUUUUUUUGAUAAAUUUUGUUUUCAUUUACAAAAGAAAAAGAACAAAUUAAAAUUUUGUUAAGACUACUAAUAUGAAAUUUUCUUUAGUAGAUUUCUGUAUUUUUCUAGUCUAAACGUAUUAAUGUAGUAUUUUGAUUUUAGAUUAUCUUGAAAAGAAAGAAUUAAUAAAAAAUGAUGAUACAAUUAGGUUCUGCCACUUAAAAUAACUAGCAAGAUUCUAUUAGACCAUGAUCAUAUUUUGUCUUGAUUCUCGUGGACACACUCACAUUUUUCUUUUAUAUAUUUUUCCUCCUCACAUGUUACACUACACUUUUCAUUUCUUAAUUUACUAAGCUCACGUACUAACAGUUAAUUCAAUUGGAGUCACUCACCUCACGCGCACUCAUGCUACAAUGCUAGGAGUCCAUAUUUUGUUCUUAUCUUUUUUGGUAUCUAACAAAUUGUGAGCGCCACAGGAUCUUCCACCCACUUUCUCCACACAUAUCCAUUGCACAUAAUAUUCCCUCCAGCUCAUAUAACUCUGGCCCCAAAAAAAAUCUUGAGGGCACUCUAUAUAUAUCAACAGAUUUGAUAGAAAGAAGAAGAAAAAAAAAGGAAACCUAGAGAUAAAAAUAGCUAAGCGGCGCAGCAGAAACUCCAGAAAACAAAAAAUAGUUGCACCUCUUUCUUUUUUCCCUUCAACCCAUCAUCAUCUUCAACCCACAAAAUAUCCAUGAAAACCACCAUCUUUCCUCCAUAAAACCCACUUAAAAACAGCCUUUUAAACCUAACAAAAUCCACUCAAAUCCAUCGUCAAACUCCAAGAAAAACUGUCCAAAAAUAAAAUUAAACUACAACCAAAUCAAACCCGAAAACGCCCCAAAAUCUAGCUCCAAAGUGACCCAAAACGUCACCCAAACCACCCCCGAAACCACCUCAAAACAGGCCCCCAAAACUCAGUAAAAUUAGCCCCAAAAAUCAUCCACAAAACAGCUCCAAAGAGCAGCCAAAUCAGCUGCGAAAUUGCUGAAAAAAACCAGUCCAAAACCCCCAGAAAAGUUGUCCCAAAAUCAGUGCCAAAAAUCUGACAAAACACCAUCCGAAACCAGCCACAAGCCUCCAUCGAAAUGACCCCUUUAUACUCGAAAUAGUUGUCCAAAUCUAGUCGAGUCAGUAUCAUUUUCGUGUAGAUCUUGUUUUGAGAUCGCCAUCGAAGUUAUGGUCGAUUGAUUCUAUAACAUUUGAAGGUCCUUGUUUUGCUCUUGCUUCGGUCAAAUUGUAGUUGUUGUUUCCUUGUAUUUUGACAUUGGCAGCGGUGCUUCAAUGUAAAGGAAGUUUCCAGCAAUAAGGUCCAAUAUUUAAACUUAUGUUAUCUCAAUUUGGUCUUGCUAGCAUAGUCAAUGAUUCUGGUUAUUUGUUGCUAUUCCAUAUUAUCUUGUCUUUCGUAGUAGUCUUAAUUACCUAGACUUUUGUCUUAAGCUAUGACUUGAUUUGUGAGAUUCAUGCUCAGCUCAUUAUUUACAACUUAAUAUCUGUUGUAUGUUGAUUUGCUAUUUCCCCUCGGUAUAGUUAAUGCAUUGGCGUCAUGGUUGAUUAAAGAAACUAUUAUUUGAAUUCAUGGGAAGUGUAGGAUAGUUAAUCGUGUUGGGUUUUUGUAAAUUUUCGGGUUUAUGGUAAUUGAUGUAAUUUUGGGCUUUACUUUAUCCUUACCCUUUAGUAUUCGGGUCAUUAGCACUUGGUUUGAGAUAAGUGAUUUGGCCUAUUUUACAUAAACAGAUAAUUGCUCGAUUACUCUAAAUAGCUUAAAAACUUCAUGUAUUCCAAACACCUCUAUUUCCAUAAGUCAUGGCCUUACAACAAACUUAAAACUAGUGUAGGAAAAUAAUCACACAACCGUAGUUUGCUUUAGGCGUGAUUAAUAAAUCAUCCUGGUCAUGGGUACGGUUCCCGUGGCAUGGUCAUGAUAUAUAAUUUCCAAUUCGGGUGUGCAUUUUAUAUGACCCGACCACAACUAAAAACAAUAUAAAAAUAAACAUGUCGUAAAUCGCGGGUGCAUUUCAUGUUGCGUGCUUUGCAAUGUGUACCAAAACGACAAGUGUACGACAUCGUGACUUGUUUCAAAAAUAAUUCCAUAAAUAAAUAAAAGCAGUUAUAAAGUUUAAAAUACACAACAGGUUUAAAAUAUGUAAUAAAUUAGAUAAUUAGGCCAGUUAUUAAUAGUUGAGCGACCGUGCUAAAACUACGGAAUCCAGGAGUGCCUCACACCUUCUCCCAGGUUAAUAGAAUUCCUUACCCGGUCUUCUGUAAUCGCAGACCAAAAAUAAAGUUAAUUUCCUCGAUUUGGGAUUUAAAAUAAAUCGGUGACUUGGGACACCAUAAACUAUUCCAAGUGGCGGCUCUAAAAAAUCAAAUAAAUAAUCUCAUUUCGAUUAAUGUCACUUUAAUUGGAAAAACUCCCCGAUCUCCUUCGGGAAAAAGGUCUGUUACUUCUUCCGAUAAGGACCAUGCUGCUUAGGCUUUGUAAUUUUUGUAAUUUUUCGUUUUUGUUUUGAGGCCGAUUGGCCCUUAUAAAUAACUCUUAAUCGGGCCAUAUGGCCCUUGUAAAAAGAGUUUUGAGAUAUAUGUAAAAACUUUAUUUCCUUC
This 11059-nucleotide long non-coding RNA is filed under the name Nicotiana tabacum (common tobacco). RNAcentral's name for it is "long non-coding RNA (NTAB_LNC003160)". The record is from RNAcentral. Lineage: Eukaryota; Viridiplantae; Streptophyta; Magnoliopsida; Solanales; Solanaceae.